UACGAAGGGGGCUAGCGUUGCUCGGAAUCACUGGGCGUAAAGCGCACGUAGGCGGAUUUUUAAGUCAGGGGUGAAAUCCUGGAGCUCAACUCCAGAACUGCCUUUGAUACUGGAGAGCUUGAGUCCGGAAGAGGUGAGUGGAACUCCGAGUGUAGAGGUGAAAUUCGUAGAUAUUCGGAAGAACACCAGUGGCGAAGGCGGCUCACUGGUCCGGUACUGACGCUGAUGUGCGAAAGCGUGGGGAGCAAACAGG
RNAcentral lists this ribosomal RNA (253 nucleotides) under uncultured bacterium. RNAcentral's name for it is "partial 16S ribosomal RNA". It matches the Rfam family "Bacterial small subunit ribosomal RNA", at positions 524 to 776 of the family's 1533-position model. The record is from RNAcentral.